Molecule: ribosomal RNA, 457 nt
Filed under: uncultured bacterium
Lineage: Bacteria
Description: bacterial SSU rRNA
Rfam family: Bacterial small subunit ribosomal RNA
Source: RNAcentral
GACGAACGCUGGCGGCGUGCCUAACACAUGCAAGUCGAACGGGACCAGAUGUCAGACAGCGGACAUCAGAAGACAGAUUACAGAUGGCAGAAUACAGAUUCAGAAGAGGGCGUGGAGGAAACCAAGCCUAGAUUCUAAUAUCCUAAGUCUGAGCAUUAGUAUCUGAACUCUGGUAUCUGGCGUCUGAUGUCUGGUCUAGUGGCGGACGGGUGAGUAACGCGUGAGCAACCUGCCUUACAGAGGGGGAUAACAUUCGGAAACAAAUGCUAAUACCGCAUAACAUAUAUUUACGGCAUCGUAGAUAUAUCAAAGGAGCAAUCCGCUGUAAGAUGGGCUCGCGUCCGAUUAGAUAGUUGGUGAGGUAAUGGCUCACCAAGUCUGCGAUCGGUAGCCGGACUGAGAGGUUGAACGGCCACAUUGGGACUGAGACACGGCCCAGACUCCUACGGGAGCAGCA